CUCAAGGCUUCUGGGAAGUGAAAAGUAUAUCUUCCUCCAAAAAUUUUAGAUACAUAAAUAGAGCUUUACUGAUUCCAAGAGAUAGUAUAGUGAGAUUAUUGCAACGAAUUUAAAAAAAAUCAUGAUUUGGAUCUUAAUUUGGCAAACUCCCAGCUGUGUGACAUUGGGCAGGUAAGUUAUGUCUAGACUUCACUUUCUUCAUCUAUAAAAUGGGGACAGAGAUUAUGCCUUCUUCAUCGAGUAGUUGUGGAGGUUCAAUGAGAAUAUGAAUUGGAAACACUUAGUAGAACACCUGGCCCCUAGUAAAUACUCAACGAAUGUCAGGUGGUGUUGGUCUUCAUCUUUAUUGUGUGAGAAGGAUGAUGAACUCACUGAACAUAUGAGGAAACUGAGAGGCCAGAGUGGAAGCCAGGACUGUCAUGCAGGUCUCUGACGCGCUGUCAGUUUCUGUUCUGCAGGCUGUGAGCUGAUUUGUACCUGGGAAAGCCAAAGUGUUCACAUAGACUAAGUCAGAAUAAGCUCCUCCAACUCGACUUGAUCCUGGGUGCAGAAAAUGCUGGAAGCCUGACACAAUCACAGCCCAAAGGGAGCAAAUGAAAAGAAAUCCUCUGAAUGAAAUUUGGGGUCUCACUUCGGGCAGCACCCACCCUCUGCAAAAGGGAGAUGUUUCCACAGCUGCUGAUCCUGGAUCCAGAGGCAGCACUCCCUCCACGAGGGACACUCGGGCAUUGUAAACUCAAGCAUCCCUUUGUUUUCCAUUCUUCACUCAGACAUUCCUGAUGACUAACUAGGGAUCAAUAUAAAUCACGUCAUUGUGAUCUCGGGUCUUUUCCUGCUAAAGAAAAGUAGAGAGUAUAAGGAAAUGACGGUGGUUUGAAAACAGAAAGCAAAAGUACUCCCUACAAAAGUUAUCUGGAGCUAUUAGGAAAACAAGGAAGAGGCUCCUGGUGAUUUGGAAGCCGGGCCAAGGUCUAGGAUGCAAUUGAUGUCAAUAGGUCCUUUGCAGGUAGAGGGACAGGAGAAUCCCAGGUGGCACAGGAUGGGAUGGGGUCUCAGUGGGAGCAGUUGCUGCAAUUGCGAAAGAGGAGGAGGAGGAGGAGGAGGGGAAAGAGGCAAUACUUCCAGCCUCCAGGGAAAAUCUCUGUGCUUGCUGCCUUAUCACAGUGACUGGAAAUCCACCCUCAGAUGCACACACAAAGCUGUCAUUAACAGAAGCUUCACGUGCACCCCGGAAAGCAAAAUUGGGCACUCGGCUUCAAAGGAAACGGCUUCUUCCUUCACAAUACUUCAUCACUAAAUGGUUGUCUGGCAUGUUUGUUUUUUCAAAUGUCCACAUUUUAUUUGUCCAACUGAUUGUCUCUUUAUCAGCAGCAGCCAGGACCACAGCUGAACUGUUUGUGAGUUGGUAGUUUAUAAAAUCAAUGCUAAGUCUUUGCUAGUGUUUCUCUAACACGCUCAUUUGUAUUUAUUCGUCUCAGAAGUCAAAGAAAAAAACACAACAUACAAAAGGCAGAGUGGUGCUUUUCUAUGUCAAUAUGUGUUUGAGGACUUUUCUAGCUAAUUGACAUAAACUCGACAGCUAGACCAGAUGACAAGCAAGAAUAUCCAUCCCAUAAUGAGGCUUCCGGCACUGGCUUAAUCAAGUAAAUCCAGAAAACAAGGCUCAAAAUUACUUGAGAAAGGUUUUAAUUGUUUUUGCAUCUUUUCUCUUUUUUCUUUCUCUUAUUUUAGAAAAAUUAUUCUUAGAGGUAGAGUCUCAA
RNAcentral lists this long non-coding RNA (1760 nucleotides) under Homo sapiens (human). RNAcentral describes it as "HSALNT0100746". The record is from RNAcentral. Lineage: Eukaryota; Metazoa; Chordata; Mammalia; Primates; Hominidae.